UCUUGCAAAUGUUGAUCCUAUUGAUGUUGCUAGAAAUAUCGCUGGGUUAAACCCUGAAACUAGCCUUGUGGUGGUGGUUUCAAAGACUUUCACAACAGCUGAAACUAUGCUGAAUGCCCGAACCCUUAGGGAGUGGAUUUCUGCUGCUCUUGGGCCUUCUUCUGUUGCAAAGCAUAUGGUAGCAGUCAGUACCAAUCUUACG
Molecule: long non-coding RNA, 202 nt
Organism: Morus notabilis
Lineage: Eukaryota; Viridiplantae; Streptophyta; Magnoliopsida; Rosales; Moraceae
Exons: 3
Source: RefSeq, a predicted model, not a curated record